CUCCUUAACAGCAACAUAUCAGAGGAAAAGUAGCAGAAGCCCUGCAAGUUAUCAAUUCAUUACGGUUGUUAAUAGAAGUUUACUGAAGGUAAACUAUUACCACCACAAAAAACGACGAAAAUAACGGAGCGUACGUGCUCCGUACUGCGGCUGUGUGUGAGACGAUUGGCGAGGAGGCACACGGAGGAAGGAUACGAUGUACAAAGCAGCACUCUCUUCGGCGCUAGGGCCCGGGGAAUGGAUGAUGGCCAGGUCUACUGCCAAGCAAAGGCUCUGGGCGGUUCACGUCGGUCAGCGCAAGCACGCAGUGUAUAUCUGCGAGCUUGUCACUCGAGGAG
This is a long non-coding RNA of Varroa destructor (honeybee mite), 338 nucleotides long. RefSeq lists it as uncharacterized. The record is from RefSeq and is a predicted model, not a curated record. Lineage: Eukaryota; Metazoa; Arthropoda; Arachnida; Mesostigmata; Varroidae.